AGGCGGGGAGCCGUUGGGGCCGUUGGGGGCGGCGUGAGGCGAGGGGGCCGACCGUGAGGGGCCUCGUGGCGACCUCGAGCCGGCGAGGGGCAUCUGCCCCGCUGUCACCUGAGGCGGCGGGGGCUGUGGGGGAGGGCAGGUGCCCCGGGCGCGGGGUGCCGAGGGUCGGGAGAGGUCUCCCUUUCGAGGAGUGAGCGCUGCCGGCCGCCGAGGCCCUGCCGCAGCUGCUUUGGGAGUGGUGUGUGACCUGCUGCCAGCUGCAGCUUGGGCUGGAAGUCUGAGGAUGAAAAAGGUCAUCACAGCGCUACCACAACGCGAGUGUUUGAUGAGGUUAAUCUGCCGCUAUGGUGCGCUCCUUCGUUAACCAAGAGCGUCUUUAGGCUGGUGACCGGGUGGUAAAGGCUAAUAGCUGUGGCGGCUGCUGUAAGAAAGAGGCAGCAGGAAUUGGCACUAGGGUUUACGCGUGUCCUAGCACCAUCAGCUGCUCUUGCACGCAAAUUGGCUCCUAAUGCUGGAUUUCACUGUGAUGGUCUAGUGUGUACUGUAAAAUACCAGGGUCUAUAGCUGUGACUUUUUUUUUUCUUCAUUUACUUCGAGGUGCUUUAUUCUGCCUGCCUAACAUCCUAAACAUCUAUACCGUAUGUAGGAUGAAGAAUUAGUAACACGAUGUUAGGAUAGAGGGGAAAUACGUCUGUGGUUUGGAAGAUGAAUGCAUACACUUCUUGUGCUACAAGUCCACAUAUACGCUGGAGCCAAAAGUAGUUGUGCUUUUUUUUUGGCGGAUGGCAGCAGUGCUGAAGCGAUACGUGCCUACACAGCAGUUGCAUUGCUGCAGUAACAAGGGCGACUGUUCUCCUGGCUUCUGCUACAUCCACAGCCAAUGGUGACUACAGAUAUGAUUUACACAGGUUAAAUCAAGGUCAGUAUCCUUUCCAAGCACUGUAAUCCAGCGAGCUCGUUCACUCCUGCAAACAGCAAAGACAAAUUUCAGUUUCCAAAACUUCUAGUCUUGAUAAUGGUAAAGACUAUAUUCCCUUUUCAAAAUCAUAUUAUCUUAAAUUCUUCAUCUUUCUUAUAGUGGAAAACAAGGAAGAAAAAAAAAAAUCACACAACCAGCUUUCUCUCCCCUCAAAAUACAGCCAGAAGAUACAAUAUUACUUUUAGUAAUGUAUUAUUCAAACAUAAUUAAAUAUUUGAUGUAUGUUGGAGUAGAAAAUAGGUCUACAUGUAUGGGACCUACCUGGCAUGGUAUCUUGUACACCUUUACCUGUAUUACUUAAAAGUAAUUAAAAUGAACUCCUUCACUAGUA
This is a long non-coding RNA of Dromaius novaehollandiae (emu), 1310 nucleotides long. RefSeq lists it as uncharacterized. Lineage: Eukaryota; Metazoa; Chordata; Aves; Casuariiformes; Dromaiidae. The transcript has 3 exons. The record is from RefSeq and is a predicted model, not a curated record.